UAUUCAAGGUCAAAGGUCACAAAAAUUGG
RNAcentral lists this small RNA (29 nucleotides) under Bombyx mori (domestic silkworm). RNAcentral describes it as "ovarian small RNA-24140". The record is from RNAcentral. Lineage: Eukaryota; Metazoa; Arthropoda; Insecta; Lepidoptera; Bombycidae.